AUUGAACGCUGGCGGCAGGCUUAACACAUGCAAGUCGAGCGGAGCGAGGGUGCUUGCACCUUAGCUUAGCGGCGGACGGGUGAGUAAUGCUUAGGAAUCUGCCUAUUAGUGGGGGACAACAUUCCGAAAGGGAUGCUAAUACCGCAUACGCCCUACGGGGGAAAGCAGGGGAUCUUCGGACCUUGCGCUAAUAGAUGAGCCUAAGUCGGAUUAGCUAGUUGGUGGGGUAAAGGCCUACCAAGGCGACGAUCUGUAGCGGGUCUGAGAGGAUGAUCCGCCACACUGGGACUGAGACACGGCCCAGACUCCUACGGGAGGCAGCAGUGGGGAAUAUUGGACAAUGGGGGGAACCCUGAUCCAGCCAUGCCGCGUGUGUGAAGAAGGCCUUUUGGUUGUAAAGCACUUUAAGCGAGGAGGAGGCGCUCUAGGAUAAUACCCUAGAUGCGUGGACGUACUCGCAGAUAAGCC
This 468-nucleotide ribosomal RNA is filed under the name Acinetobacter sp. oral taxon C51. RNAcentral describes it as "bacterial SSU rRNA". It matches the Rfam family "Bacterial small subunit ribosomal RNA", at positions 30 to 492 of the family's 1533-position model. Lineage: Bacteria; Pseudomonadati; Pseudomonadota; Gammaproteobacteria; Moraxellales; Moraxellaceae. The record is from RNAcentral.